This is a long non-coding RNA of Octopus bimaculoides (California two-spot octopus), 1865 nucleotides long. Lineage: Eukaryota; Metazoa; Mollusca; Cephalopoda; Octopoda; Octopodidae. The record is from RefSeq and is a predicted model, not a curated record.
CUAGUUUAUGUGAAGUGUGUCCACUCAGCUCAAGACAGUGUUUUCAUCUAACAGAUCAACAGAUUUUUACAUUCCAAUAUUCAGGGUUUAACCCUUUAGUGUUCACAUUAUUCUGCCAAAAUUAAUGCUUUUUUAUCCACAUUAUUUUGAACUGAUCAUGCAUUACCUCGUAGCUAUGAGAUUUUGAUGAGGUAGCUGUUAAUUUUUAAAACGAUAUUGUAGGGUUGGCGUGAGAGACCAGAUCUGGCCAGUUUGAACAUAGAAUAGGCAGAAUACUUUUGAUCGGAUAUGGCCGGUUUAAAUGCUAAAGGGUUAAUUGUAACCAAUCAGGCUGUGAUAAGCAAAGCAAUGUAGCUAACCAAGAGACACAACACAAUGACUCUUGUUAGGUUUAUUAGUGUCAAGAAGAACGUUCAGCUAUAAAUAAUACUUGAGAUAAGCUGAAGUUUUUAAUAUUUCUGUCAUUUCAUGAGAGAUUUGAGAACCAUCAACUUGAGUAUAUUGUUGUUUACCUUGUUUUAUAAGUUUUUAAAAACUGUUUUACUUAAUUUUUUAUUUUUAUUUUUAUUCAAAAGACAUGGACAUUAAAGGAAUCAAGGAGAAAAUUGAAGCCGGGGACAUUGAAGGUGCGAAAAGCAUGAUAGAAAAACGUUCAGACAGAAUUAACCAACCAAAUCAGUGGAAAGAAACUUGCCUGAUGUGUGUGUGUUAUGAAAGAAACCCAGUUUUAAUAGACUUAUUAAUCGAUGCAGGAGCUGAUUUAGGAAUGACAGACUUGCAUGGUUCUACAGCUUUGCAUUAUGCUGUGACGGGGUAAGUUCAGAAUUAACCAGAAUCUCCAGAUCUGUUUUUGUUUCUAGAUUUCUUCCAAUUCCACACAGAUUAAAUAUCCAAAGAUGCCAUCAUGUGACAUGUUGACAACAUGUAACGACCACCAUCCUUUUCUUAUUUUUCUCCUGUCCCAUUCAUUAUUCUAUUCUACUCUAGGCACAAGGCCCAACAUUUUUGGUGGAAGGGUGUCAGUCGAUUAGAUCGACCCCAGUACGCAACUGGCACUUAAUUUAUCUACCCCAAAAGGAUUAAAGGCAAAGUCGACGUUGGCAGAAUUUGAACUCAGAAUGUAACGGCAGACGAAAUACCGCUAAGCAUUUCGCCCGGCGUGCCAACGUUUCUGCCAGCUCCUUGCCAACUUCUGCUAACGAUUCUGCCAACUUCUGCUAACGAUUCUGCCAACUUCUGCUAACGAUUCUGCCAACUUCUGCUAACGAUUCUGCCAACUUCUGCUAACGUUUCUGCCAACUUCUGCUAACGUUUCUGCCAACUUCUGCUAAUGUUUCUGCCAACUUCUGCUAACGUUUCUGCCAACUUCUGCUAACGAUUCUGCCAACUUCUGCUAACGAUUCUGCCAACUUCUGCUAAUGUUUCUGCCAACUUCUGCUAACGAUUCUGCCAGCUCGUUGCUGCCUUGAUUCUAUUCAUUAUUGAAGCAUAAAAUCUUUUUCUGGGAUUUGCUGUCAAAACAUUAUUUUUUGUUUCGGAGAUAAUUUUUGAGAGUCAACAGUUCUUAAGAUUGGCCCAGUGUGAUGCAGUGUCCACUCUUAAUACUGAUUAUGGAGAGGAGAAUCAAUUUUUCUCCAAAGAAAAUUGUGUAUUUCACCUCUAAAUUGGUAAGUUGGAACUACUCCGUUUUGAGGGGGAUUUUCCCCAUUUUAAAUCCCAGCCUUCGAAAAGUUGGGGUCGGGCAUCUUUUUACUCUUUUACUUGUUUCAGUCAUUUGACUGUGGCCAAACUUUUUUACAACCCCCUCACCAUCUCCCAUCAUCCCACUCCGGACCGACUUUCGCUAAUUGUUUGGACCUUCAAAA